GAUAGAGGUCGCGGAUUUUAUCAGUACUCAGCCAGCUAUAGUUCGGAAGACUGCUGCUGAAGAAAGGGAAAUUCGCCGAAGGAUGUGCAACCAAUACACACCCUGGGCUGUCGUAAUAAGAUGCGACAGACUGUCACGUAAGUGGAGCGCUAUCA
Molecule: non-coding RNA, 155 nt
Filed under: pig gut metagenome
Description: Lysine riboswitch
Rfam family: Lysine riboswitch aptamer
About the family: Riboswitches are metabolite binding domains within certain messenger RNAs that serve as precision sensors for their corresponding targets.
Source: RNAcentral